Molecule: ribosomal RNA, 609 nt
Filed under: uncultured bacterium
Lineage: Bacteria
Description: bacterial SSU rRNA
Rfam family: Bacterial small subunit ribosomal RNA
Source: RNAcentral
GUUUGAUCCUGGCUCAGAAUCAACGCUGGCGGCGCGCUUAACACAUGCAAGUCGGACGAGAAAGGGGAGCAAUCCCUGAGUACAGUGGCGUACGGGUGAGUAACACGUGGGUAAUCUACCUCUUGGUGGGGAAUAACUCUGGGAAACCGGAGCUAAUACCGCAUAACCCUGGGAAGGAAAAGCCGAAAGGCGCCGGGAGAGGAGCCCGCGGCCGAUUAGCUAGUUGGUGAGGUAACGGCUCACCAAGGCAAAGAUCGGUAGCCGGCCUGAGAGGGCACACGGCCACACUGGCACUGAAACACGGGCCAGACUCCUACGGGAGGCAGCAGUGGGGAAUCUUGCACAAUGGGGGAAACCCUGAUGCAGCGACGCCGCGUGAGCGAUGAAGCCCUUCGGGGCGUAAAGCUCUUUCGGCCCGAACGAUGAUGACGGUACGGGAAGAAGAAGCUGCGGCUAACUACGUGCCAGCAGCCGCGGUAAUACGUAGGCAGCAAGCGUUGUUCGGAGUUACUGGGCGUAAAGAGUGCGUAGGCGGUUCUUUAAGUUCGGUGUGAAAUCUCCCGGCUCAACUGGGAGGGUGCGCCGAAAACUGGAGGGCUCUGAGUGUGG